GCGCGCGGCGCCGCCGGUGGGGGCGCUCCCGGAGCGCCGGGAUCCGCCGGGAUCCGCCGGGAUCCGCCGGGAUCCCCGCCAGACUGCGGGCCCUGAGGCCGGGCAGGCAGCCGGAAUCGCCUCGCUCAAGGAAUGGAUGAGAUAAUCAAGAAAUUCUUCACACACAGAUGACAGCAACAAGAAACUAAAAUCCCAGAGAGAAGAAUUAUUGCCUCCUUAUUCAGGAAGAACCAGGCUUCUUCCACCUCCUUUCAGACUCCACGGAACCAAAUGAUUAUUUACAAGAUGAAGGGUGGGAGUCCACAAUAAACAGAAAAAUCCCUAGUUUGAAAGGAAUGUUUGCAUCAUGUGUGAGAUAUAUGAAUAUGUAACAGGCUAUUGCUUUUAAGGGUUAAUCUUUUGUUAGCGGACAUGCUUUUUUUAGGAAAGCAUCCGAACAUUCACAAUUUUCUGCUUUUUUAUUGUUCUUUAUUGUCCUAUCGCUGGUUGUCCGAAUUCUUAUUGCUGUAACUUGUAUUAUUAUUUUUAUAACCAUUUUAUUACUAUUAAACUUCUAAAAUUUUAAGACAAGGGAUUGGUGUUUUUCACAAACCUAGAUUUUCCCAGCACAACUUCAGGCCGUUCCCUUGGGAAUGUUCCCUCUGUCACCACAGAGAAGAGCUCAGUGCCUGCCCCACCUCUUCCCCUCAGUCUGUCACUGCAGUGGGGUCUCCCCUCAGGCUCCUGCAGGCUGAACAGGAUAGUGUAGGGAUAAAAUGUUUCCAGAACCUUGGGAAAAUGUUAGGCUUUACUGGAUCGUGCAAAACUGCACCUGUAUAAUCAUUUAAUGACCAUAAUAAAUGACAUGAUUGUUAUAUGAUAAAUUAUGUCAUUGUUAAAUGCAAUGAUUGUUUAAUAAUAGGAUAUAAUGAUUGUUUAAUCGUAACAAGCAUAAUGAGAAACUAUGUUUGGGGCGUUUGAUGGAAAUUACAAAAUCCAUGUUUGGAUGAAAUCAAUGUAUACAAUAGAACGAUAUAAGUUUAAUGUUACAGGUAAUAAAUUAUAAAGCGGAAUUAAUAAUCAAAAAAUAGGUUUUUCAUCACUUGGGUGUCUCCUGGGCUGUCCCAGGAAAGGGCCCAUCUCCACACAGAGGCACAUCUCGUUUGUUAAUUGGGUCUUUCUUUCUGCUGCCAUCUGUGGUUUUGCAGUUUGUGGAGCAACCUUUCCCUGGCUGCGGCUUGUGCUUUGAAAACUUUAAGAAUUUUUUUGACGAGCACAACUUAUUUAAUGUAUAUUUUACAUAAGCAUGAAUUAUUCCAUAACAUAUAUUACAUUUAAUAAUUAAUAUGUAGUUAUAUAAUGACAAGGGUAUGAAAACGUGUUCAUGUCGGAGCCAGAUUUGGGUCUGUACCCCUGACACCCAGAGCUCUUCAGUAAAAGCACCUGCAUGUAA
Molecule: long non-coding RNA, 1432 nt
Organism: Passer domesticus (house sparrow)
Lineage: Eukaryota; Metazoa; Chordata; Aves; Passeriformes; Passeridae
Exons: 2
Source: RefSeq, a predicted model, not a curated record